This 30-nucleotide non-coding RNA is filed under the name Rattus norvegicus (Norway rat). The record is from RNAcentral. Lineage: Eukaryota; Metazoa; Chordata; Mammalia; Rodentia; Muridae.
UUUCAGCUUUGACAGGUAUUGCCUUCACAA